UUUUUUUUCUCCUAGAGAAUCGUGUUGCUUAGUGGCAAAAGGAAAAAACAACCAAAAAAACCCCCCAAAACUCCCCCAAUUACAACCAGUAGUUCGUUUCAUGAGAUGCCAGACAGCCAUCUACAGCCCCAGUAGGAACUAAAGGGGAUUUUCCCGUCCCUGGCAGUGUUCAAGACCAGGUUGGACACAGGGGCUUGGAGCAACCUGCUCUAGUGGAAGGUGUCUCUGCCCAUGGCAGGGGGUUGGAGCUGGACGAGCUUUAAGCUCCCUUUCAACACAGACCACUCUGUGAUUCUAUGGUUCAUGAGUUCAUGCAGACAACAGAAAGGACCAAAUAGAAGCACAGCAGAGGCACCUGUGAAGGGUUUCUCACCGAUGCUUUAGGGCACACUGGCUACAUCAGGAAGAAUCUGGUUCUAGCUCAUUUAAAACCUUCAUGAUUCUUAACAAUCCAAAGCUCCUCAGAACGAGUAUGAGCUAGGUGCUUCAGCAUCCUAUGAAGUCCCUCCCCUUCUCUCUGGAAGAGGAUUAUUGCUGUUCCAAGCAUCCUUCCUUAGACUGUUGUAGGUCCUGGUAUUGAUGAUAACUAUUUGGUUAGAUACUGGUAUGUUGUAUGAGUCGAGAGUUGUUUUUAUCAGAUUUUCAUCCUUCAUUGUCAAGGCAAAGUUAUGACUAUUGAUACAAUAAUGACCAUGAAGCAGAGAUGCCUUUUGAAUUUACAUAUGGAAUUAGUAACCUGUUUGGAACUCCUGGCAUGCUCUGUGCCAGGCACUGACAUGACAAAGCUCCCAGCACAGUCUCCAAGUAUUUACCUGAGAGUGGUAAGAAAGUGGAGUUUCCUUGAACUCUUCAGUCUAUCUUUGAGCAAGCUUGUGUCUGAAGAAACCUUCAUCUCCCAGAAUCUAAUUUACACACAGAGCAGCCUCAUAUCCCUGCACCCUCAAGAUAAAUAAAGGGGUAAAUUGAAAUACUGAAUAUUGUAAGGCCUUGUUCAUUCAAUUAUUUUUUUUCUCCAAGAUUACCCUGCAGACCUCAGUGAUUAACUACUUCACAUACCCCCUCAGAAAAGCAAUUUCUUAGCUGCUGAGAAGUUAGAGUGAGAUCCAGAACAUGGCAAAACACAUCUGGUGUUUGUUUCAAAGGAGGAGAGUUGCACAGGCAUUUCUGCAGAAUAAAACGAGAGCUCAUUUGAUUAAGAAGGGGAGUUGCUGUGCUGGUCUAACCCUUCCUUAGCACAUGCCAGAAUAGGUUUCCAUGUACGUACAUCACCUUUCCUGCACCUUGGAUGGAUUACCAUUUUGAAGAUCUGAAUAAAUCACUCAACUGCAUCUGAUUGUACAACAGUUUGGAAAUAGUGAGGAAAUCUUGAGCAAGCCCAAUUUUAAGACUUAUCUUCAGAAGCUCCUGAGCAGGAACCUUCUUUGUCCUCUGUUUGCACAGUGCCUAGUUCAGCAGGGUCCUGUCGUGACUAGGGGUCCCGAGUUUGUAUUGUACAGCAAUACAAGUAAUAAAUAAAAAAUAGCAGUACAUAGUAUAUGAUCAAUAAUACCUACUGUAUACCCUGUUUGUCAAACACACUGCACCCCAGCAA
Molecule: long non-coding RNA, 1591 nt
Filed under: Strigops habroptila (Kakapo)
Lineage: Eukaryota; Metazoa; Chordata; Aves; Psittaciformes; Psittacidae
Description: lncRNA (ENSSHBG00005008447.1)
Source: RNAcentral